Long non-coding RNA from Anopheles coluzzii, 6136 nucleotides. RefSeq lists it as uncharacterized. Lineage: Eukaryota; Metazoa; Arthropoda; Insecta; Diptera; Culicidae. The transcript has 4 exons. The record is from RefSeq and is a predicted model, not a curated record.
ACGACAUGCGUUAGUUGAAUGUACCCAUUGAAGCACAUACGAGGAUAAGAAUCUUAAUUUAGAAAUUUACAAGGAUAAAUCAUUCCAUAAUGGAAGAAGAAGGAACACGGCACAAAACGACGCAAAAUAUGGGGCACAAGAAAUCACGCACUACUCCAGCACUUCGACAGUGAAAGUUCUGGACAGACUGAGAAUGCCUAUCACCCGGAUGAGCGCGAUAACAGAAAAAUCAUGGGAGAUCGAGAGAGAUGAGUAGCCCAAGUAGCAACCGAAGCCUGUUUCUCCCAGUUUCAACCCCCUCAUGUCCAAAAACUGCCUUCGCUCACUAUUCCUAUCCCAUUUCUACAUUCUACAACGUUUGUUGCGUUCUCGCUCAUCAGGGUGUUAGUCAAUUCUCUCUUGCCACACGAAGAAAAUUAUCCUGCACACUUCGUGUGUUGGAUUCUACCCAUCCCUGUUGAACAUACGUCAUUUUCUUCCAUCGCACUCAUCAGGGUGUUUGCUCUUUUCCAUCCAAGCCAAAGAGCGACUUCAGUGUGCUCUGAACCGUGGAUGUGAGAGUGUGUGUUUGUGUGCUGCAUGAACUAUUUUUCCUGCGUGAAACACUUUCCCGUACUGCGCCAUCCGCGGUGUUCUUUCUGCUUCAUCGGAGGACGAAUUUUUAUCAUCUAAUUGUUUGGUUUCAGAUGUGUGCUGCUACCGCUAGCUGUUCCUCAAACUACUUAAAAAGUGUGACACUGUGUGCACAGGCGUUCAAGUUUCAAUUGAUCCUCAAGCACAAAGCCUUCAUACAACACCGCGGUUGAGGUGCGCCAAAUCUGAUGACAUCUUUCCUGAACCAAGCAGGCUUAACACGCGCACCACCACGGGCUCCAGCGCGGUGUGAAGAGGGAAGAAGAAAAUACAGAAUUGGAAACAGCCCAAAUGACAAUCCAGCCUGCUCUCACUAUGGCGAGCUCAAUGACAGCUGCUUCAACCCAUACUGAGAGGCUAUCAUCGUUUCCUCCUGCAUACUGAGCAAGCUUGUUUUUUCCCCUCGCUUAGGCGAGAUGAUUUUGUUUGUAUGGUGAGCAGAUCUAUCGCCGAUGAUUGCUCUAAUGAGAUGAUCGGGCAACAGCCGCUCACAUGAUGAAAUCAUGAUGAGGUCGGAUUUUGGAGUGAGUAAAAAUUUCUUCCCCACAUCGAGCCGCCAUUGUGUUGUGGUUUGAGAACAUUGGAUCAUCUACGAACUGUUUACAUUUGUAAAACGUGCAAUAAUUGACCGCGGGCUACAUUUCUCGAUUCUUUUGUUGAAAGAGCAUAUCAAAUAUCCCAAAUCAGUUAAAAUAUAGUGAAAUAUUGUACCGGACACACGAUGCUUUGAAGAAAACGUGAGGGCAAACAUGGGAAGAUGAUGAACAUUUUACCUUACUAAUAGUUGAUUUACAGCCUCUAGGCAUCAACAAAACAUGAAGCAGCGUUUAACGAUGAAGAAGAUACCCAGUUGUGCGAUAACCGUUAACGUUGAAAAUCAAGAGGAAUACAUGGAUUGAAAAUACUUAAAGAGAAUACGCAUCGAGUCGAAUUUAAAACGGAAAAUAAUGGUCUACAAAAAGCGAAAAUAAUGGCAAAGGAAACGAGUGCGACUGGGCCGCAAUACCAUCCAAUAUUUCAUGAAAGGCCAUGUUUUGGAUUGCCAUGAUUGUUAGCAAUGGCGGAUUAAGACGAAUGGAGGCCCUAAGCGGUCAUACAAAAGUAGAGGCUUGGUUGAAGCGUCUAGCAGGGGAUUGUAUCAAAUAUCCUAACCAGAGAAGGAUUGAGUAGCAAUUAUGCUUGUAAGCGGAUGGUAGGUGCCAUUUUUGGGGCCCCUGGCCGACUCAGAUGUUCGACGCUUAAACAACUAAACACACAUUAAAACUGAAGGAAAUACACAUCUAAUCAAUUACUUUAAAAAAUAAUAUAAUUGUAUUGAUUCGUGAUGUAUUUUGUAGUUUUGACCUGCAUGUACAAUUCUAAAAUAUUCCUAUGAAUCACAGAAAGGCCUAAAGCCUAAAAGCCUGCCUUAUAAGCUUGAAUAUUACACGUGGCAAAGAACCCUAAAAAAGCUGAAUAAAAUCACGUGCUUUUAAUGGUUUGUAGUGUAAAUUGAUUGACAGAGCCGGCUGGCCACAUGUACAUAACAUGUGCUGUUUUGCAGUGUUCUUACAUCCUCCGUUAUUUUCAAAUUCAUCCAUGCUUAGAGAGCGUACACCGCUUUUCCACUGCUAGUCAUAUUGAAAUUGCUUUAGUCAUAAUUUGCACUUGGAGGAUUUACACAUUCUAUUUUCCCCUAAUUUUCUUCAAAUCCUUUUUCUUUGUCUAGCUUGGAUCCUAAAUCAGCAGCUUCCAUUCAAAAAGAAUCAAAUUUAGUUUCCACAAUUCACGAAAACAAAAUUCAUUACUUGCACUCUCCAUCGUUUGCUCUUCAUCAUUCCUUGUUGUUUCUUGAACACCAUGCAAUCAUCAAAGGCAACACGAUAUCAUCGUCAAUAUUUUCACUUGUGCGUGGAUCUAUUUCUGCUCCAAGGUUCGAUGCGUCUACUAGUGCCUUUCCAACGACCCAAAUUUCGAAGCCUUCAAUGGUUUACAUGUUUAAUUGAGAUGUUCUGACUUGAUGUACUGCGGAUCAAAUCCAACCACGGCAGUACAACAAGUCAGCAGAUGAACUGAAUAGAAAGGAAGAGUCAGAGUGUACUAGGGAUGGUAACGGUGGAAAAAGUGAAAGAGGGGAAUACCUUUUUUUUUCGCCAUGACUACCAUGACGAUGAUUGCACUGAUUUUCCCCUUCCUUUUUUCUCACAGCACGCUGCUCAUAGUGAGAUCGCUUUCGUCUGAAAAGCGGAACGGAAAGCGACUUGCAUCAAAUGUCAACCCGAUUUUCCGUGCUGAAAUUGUCAUCCGGGAGCCGCACCAGGCUUCCAACCACCGUGUGUGUGUAUGUAAGUAUGUGAGAACACAUGUGUGAAUCCUCUUGUGGGAACUGCAAAAAGAAGAGAAUAAAGAGUGUGAAGCAGCUAGACUGCCGCAACCAAAUUAAGAGAGUGAAUUCUCAUUUCAAUCCGAAAAACUGGGAGAGAGUGAUGACAUGCGAGAGAGAAUAAAACUAGAAACACGAGAGAGGACACGAAGCGCUUUCGGGGUUUUAUCGCCUUCGCGCACAUUUUGCUUUACGCGCGCGAAAAAGUGAGCCUUGAUCAGCGCGAUGGCUUCCGUACAAAGGCCUUCGGCUUUGCUAUCUGGGAGUCUCGGUUCAGUGGAAUCCACAUGCAGAUGCAUGUGUGUGUGUCACUCGAAGGAUAUCGGUUUCUCCUUCUCCCGUUUUUCGUUCAUGAUUGUUUGCCAGGCCACACGAUCGGCGUUGUGCCAUCCAAAAUCUAGUGAAAAAAGACAUGCUCUCUCGCUUUGACACACAGGAAAGUUUUCCAAUAGCUUCGGUUUUACUGGUUGGGUGUCAGCGUACAGACGGCGUCCACGGGCCUGCCCACGCCCGAAUACAGAGCCGAUUGCAUACGAUUCUAUCUUCACCAUUAUCAUUAGAGAGACAAGGUAUAUACCACCAACGUACCAGAAAGGUAUGCAUGCUUCACUCAUCAGGAUCUAAAGGCAAGGACAAGGCUAAAGAGACUCAGAAAAGUUUCCUCACGGCUACACAUGUCCUCCAGACGCGUUGUCUAUGCGUCUCGCUCGGUAUCACAGCGGCAUACGGCAGGUAAGCAGUACAAAUGUUGCUACCUGAUACGCACACAUGUUUAACGAACACAACUAUUCGGGUUGGCUCGGUAAAGGUUGGGUGGGCGCCAGAACGCAAAAGCGCAGACCUUAUCAUGAUUUUGUAUGACUUUGGCUGUUUUGGACCAUACGUUUAGGCGCUGACACUUAGUCGCGCGUAUAAACCCACCAAACAAAGCCGAAGUCGCUCGAACCUUUUACUCUGUGCCAGAGCGAGAAAGCAUACAUUCUGCAUCAAGUUCUACAGCUGCAAACACAGCGCGUGUAGAUGUGUGUGUGCGCGGAGCGAAUGUAUGGAUGAAGAUGGGAAGCAGCGGGGUUUUCUCGUUCAGUUGAGGGACCCGAACAAUUCUCCAUGGUUUUAUCAGUCCAAUACCAACGCUGCUGAGGGAAGGGUGUGCUAUUUUUUCGCGCGCUGGGAUUCAUGCUCAUGAUUAUGAAAAACUGUAUGUUCUUUGCAAUAUUUGCUUACUAUGUUAUUGUUUUCACCAUUUUCUAAAUUUUUCCCCACUUUUCAAAUCUUCUUCUUCUUCUUUGGCUCAACAACCGUUGUCGGUCAAGGCCUGCCUGUACCACUUUUGAGCUUGGCUUUCAGUGACUAAUUGAUUUCCCACCAUAGCAGGAUAGUCAAUCCUACGUAUGGCGGCACGGUCUAUUUUUGGGGAUUGAACCCAUGACGGGCAUGUUGUUAAGUCGUACGAGUUGACGACAGUACUACGAGGCACACCACUUUUCAAAUAUUUCAUUAAAAUACACGUGAAAGUUUCUAUAGAUAAUAUUUUCAUAGGAACGGCGCUAAAAAGCCGCAUUGCUAAGAUUGUCUAUAUUAUCAAUUUAAAAAAAAGUUUCUGAACCCGUAAUGAAACAAAAAACAAAAAAACGAAAAACUUUUUUUAAGUAUAUUUUGAGUUGCUGAAUCUAGCUCUCGAAGAUCGUUUUUGGAUACGAUGAAUAGUUUCAAAGAUAUUUAUCAAAAACCUGUUGCUUUCUUCGAACACACAUACAGGUGUCCCCCGAGAUACGACUGUAUUUGGGACCGAAAAAAAGUUCCAACGCAAGGCGUAAGUCGAAAAAGUCGUAUGUCGAAUAUCUGUCAAUGUAAAUUUUAUAACCGAAGUUGAAGAGUCGAAAUCUAUGAUAUCGUGUUUUUUAUCUAAAAAAAUGUUCGAUAAUGUAUUAAUUUUACACAAAAAGUCGUUUACACGAUAUAGAUAUUUAAUAUCGGGUAGUUGUGGAAUCUUUAGAAAUUUGUGUGUAACGAUUAUCAGCUCAGAAAUUCAAAAAUAUACAUCAAUUUCUUCUCGAUGACAAUUUUUCACUGUCAAAAUCAAAAUCGUCGUAUCUGCGAAUCGUCGUAACUCGAGGGGGUCGUAACUCGGGGGACGCCUGUAUUUGAAAUGUUCAGCAGUAAGCGGGUAUCUGUUCAUUGCGCGAGUUAAUAUAUUUUUGGAUCAAAUGAUGCGAACGCUUUGAGUUCCAGAUUCUAACUGUCUUUAUUUCUCCUAGUUUGAUUCCUAUCAACUCUAAUCCUAACCUUAUCUUGUAUGUAUGAGUGUACGGCUUAUCUUAUAUGAAUAUGGUGCUUGGCUAUAGCUAUUGGUAAAUAUAGUGGUGUGUCACAUACACAUAGGAUGGUUAACUACUCCCGGGCCAACAAGAAAAGACGUCCUCGUCUUUUAGUGAUACUGCUUGCGGAACAUUUCAUAGUAUUAGAACAACAUUCAUGCUUGGAUAUUUUUGUAUCCUUUGUUUCAUUCGAAACACCUGACAUUUCUGUCAAUGGAUGGUAUGUUGUUCAUGUUGUUCAUGUUCGUAUAAUCCAAAAUGGACUUUUCACAAGGACCUUUACCGAUCGCAAGUGAUUAUAAGACUUAGUUCCUUUUUCCUGACAGAUCUUUGUCGUUGGCCUCUUUCGCAUCAAAAGAUCGUAACGGAUCUUUGAAUUCCUUUGCGACAAAUUGGAGAACAUAACGAAUCUCGAAAUCUGAACAGAUUGUAGCUCCUCAUCACUUAAAAUUGUACAGCCCAUUUUUUUUUCACUUUCUAGUAUAACCAUUCUCAGUAUGCAAAACCACUAUUAACACAAAUAUACAUGUGUAGAACCCACAUGUCCACAUAUUUCGAUGUGUAUAGAUAUAUAAAUAUACUUAAGCAUUAAUAUAUAAAUACACACACGCAUGUACACAUGUAGACUGUCUACACAUCCAUUUGUUUAAGAUGUAGAAGAAUUGCACAAGCCAUAUUUCGCCGUUGAUUAUCUACGUUAUUAUUAUCAUUCCUUCUUUUUAGCAUAAGUGGAAAUAAUCUAGCAUGUUUAUAUCUAUUCUUUGUUUAAGAAAUGCAUUUAUGUUGUCUUAAGUAAAACUUGGCACAUUUGAAUUAUUUUAAA